AAAGGAGUUGCAAAUAAAAACUGGCCUCUGCAAAUUGUCUUCACAUCCCCGGACUCCAAUAGCUAGAAAACGACGCGGAUUUCAUUAAAAAUUCAAAACCCUAAUCCUUUUCUGGGUUUUCUGAUUUUCACUUCAUUCUCUCUAAUGGAAACCGAAGAAGAAGACAAUUCAAGGCACUCUACAAUCACUUCAACAACAGCAAUCACUGCAGAGCCUCACACUGUUAACAACCUCUUAUGUACCCAACCUCAAUGUAGGCCCCACCCUGUGGCCGAGUUGCCCGAACAACAAUUCGGUGGUGGUGGUGGGGAUGGCGAGUCACGACCGCCACCUGAAACAGAAACCAAUGUUCCCGACGACGGCGAAUAUCAGGAUGUGGUUGCGGGGGAUAAUACGCCCGCGGUAGAGUUUAGGGAGUUGGAUGUUGUUGGAGGUGGUCGUGAGUCUCAAUCUCCUCCUUCACGAUUGCUGCAACCACCGGUGGCCGAGGGGGGCGAAGGAGAGAGUGCUAAGGCCGAAGAGGAGAGUGCUGACGUCAAAGAGGAGGGCCAGGGUAUCGAGACACCAGAGAUUGUGCCAGAGGUUCCUCGAAAAGAAGAGGCAGAUAAUGAUUUGAUUCCUGGAGAGGGACGGCGUGGACAUUUAAACUACAGCGAUUCAUCUAACGAAGAUAGGGGUAAUUAUGGUGUCUUGGAUGCUGGAGUUGACGUGCCAGGAGUGAAUAAGAAAACAGAGACUAAAAUGGAGUUUGUUGUUAACUUAGUAGAGGACUCUGAGAAGGCUAUGGAAGAAGAUUUCACUGGUAUGAUAGAGGGUCCCGCAAUGGUGGAUAAGGAUAUGGAGAAGAGGGACGUGGUAGAGGAAACAAAGGAGGAGGCUGCUGACACUGCAGAAGAGGCAGAGAUGGCUCACAUGUCAGAGGAAACAAAAGAGGAUAAGGAUAGUUAUGGGGUCGUGGAUACUGGAGUUAACGUGCCAGGAGUGAAUAUGGAAACAGAGACUAAAAUGGAGGCUGUUGUUAACUUAGUAGAGGACUCUGGGAAGGCAGUGGUAGCGGAUGUCAUUUGCACGAUGGAGGGAUCAGUAAUGGUGGAUAAGGAUGUGAAGAAGAGGGACGUGCUAGAGGAAACAAAGGAGGAGGCUGCUGACACCGCAGAAGAGGCAGAGAUGGCUCAUAUGUCAGAGGAAACAAAGGAGGCAGCUUUGGAUACGGCAGAAGAGGCAGAGAUGGUUGACAUGGCAGAGGAUACCGUGGAGGUGGAGGAGGAGAAGGAGGGGAUGACUGAAGAAUUUACAUUGGCAGAGGAGAUGGAGGCAGCAGAUCAGACUGAAAUGACUGGCAAUGCAGAGGAAACUAAGGUAGCAGAGGAGACAGAGGAGGUUGUUAAUGAGGCAGGGGACAUGGACGGGAUGGAGAUGGCUGAUAGGACGGAGGAAAAUGGAAAGGAAGAGAAGAUGGAUGUAACAAAUGCCAAAGAAGAAUCAGAGACGGCUGAAAAAGCAGAGAAUGCAGAGGAGAUGGAACUUGCAGAUGGAACUGAGGCGGAGGGGGCAGGAGAUGAAGUGGAGGAACUGAGCAGAAAUGCUGGUGGGAAGAGGAAGCGGGGAAAGAAUGCCAAGGCCCCCUCUAGAGUUUCAACCAGGCAGAAGGUGGAGGAGGAUGUUUGUUUCAUUUGCUUCGAUGGAGGUGAACUUGUCCUCUGUGACCGCAGGGGGUGCCCUAAGGCAUAUCAUCCUUCCUGUGUUAAUCGAGACGAGGCAUUCUUUCAAACUAGGGGUCGUUGGAAUUGUGGUUGGCAUCUUUGUAGCAUCUGUGAGAAGAAUGCCUACUAUAUGUGUUAUACAUGCACGUUCUCCUUGUGCAAAGGCUGUGUCAAAGAUGCUCUUAUCCUAUGUGUCAGAGGUAACAAAGGUUUCUGUCAGGCAUGCAUGAAAACUGUCAUGUUGAUUGAAAGGAAUGAGCAGGGAAACAAUGAAGUGGCCCAAAUAAAUUUUGAUGACAGAAGUAACUGGGAGUAUCUCUUCAAGGAUUACUGGAUUGAUUUAAAAGGGAGGCUAUCUAUAACUUCAGACGAACUUUGUCAGGCUAAAAAUCCAUGGAAAGGAUCCGAGUUACAUGCUGGGAAGCGGAUAUCCAUGGAUGAACCUUAUGAUGCUCAUAAUGAUGCAGGAUCGGGAUCAGACAGUUCUGGAAAUCCAGAAAUAACUACUUCUAAAAGAAGAAAGGCCAAAAAGCGGUUGAAAUCUCAUGCUAAGGAGAAGGAUUCACUGAUUACAACAACAGUAAAUGAUGCUGAAGAGGCAUCCCACGAUGGAAGUGUGCAGUGGGCAUCAAAAGAGCUUUUGGAAUUUGUUAUGCAUAUGAAGAAUGGUGAUAAAUCUGUGUGUUCUCAAUUUGAUGUGCAAGCUCUUCUUCUGGAAUAUAUAAAAAGGAAUAAACUUCGUGAUCCUCGUCGUAAAAGUCAAAUAAUUUGUGAUUCAAGGCUUGAGAAACUGUUUGGGAAGCCACAUGUGGGGCACUUUGAAAUGUUAAAACUUCUGGAAACACAUUUUCUUUUAAAAGAGGAUUCUCAGGCAGAUGAUCUUCAAGGGAGUGUUGUCGAUACUGAAACUAAUCAGUUGGAGGCUGAUGGAAACUCUGAUGGUCUUAAGAAGGCUAGUAAGGACAAGAAACGUAGGUCACGUAAAAAGGGUUAUGGAAGAGGAUUGCAAUCUAAUCUUGAUGAUUAUGCGGCCAUUGAUACAUACAAUAUCAAUUUAAUAUACUUACGGCGGAGUUUGUUGGAGAAUCUAAUUGAUGAUACGGAAACAUUUCAUGAUAAAGUUGUUGGUUCUUUUGUGAGAAUCAGGAUAUCUGGGAGUGCUCAAAAGCAAGAUUUAUAUAGGCUGGUCCAAGUUGUUGGUACAAAUAAAGCUGCUGAACCCUAUAGAGUUGGCAAAAAGACAACUGAUUACCUGCUGGAAAUAUUAAAUUUAAACAAGACUGAGAUUGUAUCAAUUGAUAUAAUCUCAAAUCAAGAAUUUACUGAGGAUGAAUGCAAGCGGCUGCGACAGAGCAUAAAAUGUGGUCUUAUCAAUCGGUUGACUGUGGGUGACAUUCAGGAAAAGGCCAUGUCACUUCAGGCAGUCAGAGUUGAAGAUUCAUUGGAAUCAGAGGUAACACGUCUCAGUCAUCUUCGUGAUCGAGCCAGUGAUUUGGGCCGGAAGAAGGAGCUUAGAGAAUGCGUAGAGAAAUUGCAACUUCUGAAGUUGCCUGAGGAGCGCCAGCGCAGAUUUGAAGAAAUACCAGAAAUUCAUGCUGACCCAAAUAUGGAUCCAAGUUAUGAGUCUGAGGAAGAUGAAGGCCAAACGGAUGAAAAGAGACGAGACCAUCUGAGACCUGGAGGUUGUAGCUUUAACAGGAGAGGGAGAGAGCCUAUUUCUUCUGGAAGAGGAAGUUUUGCUUCAAAUGAUUCAUGGGGAACUAGGAAUUACUCAAGCAUGAAUCGGGAUUUGAGCAGAAACUUGUCCAAUAAAGGUUUCUUGAUCAAAACAGAUGAUAAUGCUGGAGCUGGUGAGAUACUAAAUGAAAGUUUGUGGGGUCAAGGAAGGGACAGAGAAACACAGCAAUCACAAAAUUGGGAGAAGCCAAAAUCUGCAUCAAAUUUAGAAACUAAAAGUGUCCAUCCUGUGCUAUCAUCAGGAUCAUUUCCUAGUGUUAAACAGGAUAUUGCAAUGGCACCUUCCUCUGCGGUGGUGACACGAUCUGCAAUCAAAAUUAACGAAACAGACAAGAUAUGGCAUUACCAGGAUCCAUCUGGAAAAGUACAAGGACCAUUUUCCAUGGUGCAGCUGCGGAAAUGGAGUAAUACUGGAUAUUUCCCUGCUGAUCUGAGAAUAUGGAGAACUAAUGAGAAGCAGGAUGACUCUUUUCUUUUGACUGAUGCAUUGGUUGGAAAUUUCCAGGGAGACCCUCCAUUGGUGGACAGCGGGUUCCUGAAAAGUCACAGUCCUCAUCUAUCAUCCUCGUAUUCCACAAUUGCAGAAGAGGGUUGUAAACCUCAGCCUGAAAUUAGUAAUUCUACUGAUCGAGCUACUUCAGCAUCCCUUGAUGUUCCCAAGUAUUCUACAGAAAAGUGGGGUUCUGAGACAAAUCUGCCUUCCCCGACACUGGCCCAAGCUGCCACAAGUGGAACAAAGGGGAAACCAUUUGAAAGCAAAUGGUCACCUACCCCAGCUCAACCUGCUGGUUCUCUCUUGGGAGCUAACUCACUCCCAAGUGGUAAUGGGGAGCUGCAACGCCCUGCUAUAGUUAUCCCUGAAAUCAGCCAAUUGCCACAUUUUUCAACUCCAUCUUCAACAAAACUGUUGAAUUCUGCAAAUUCUCUUCAGAUGCGUUCUCAAUCAACUUUGUCUGGUGAAUCACCAAGGGUACAGGUCAUUUCCCAUCCGCUUCCAGCACCUGAUUCUGGUUUUGCUCCAGUUAAUACUGUUACUGAUAUGAAAGGUCUCCAGAAUUUGGUUCAGCCUGUAACUAAUAAUAAUACUCUUAUUGGAACACAAGGAUGGGGGGCUGCUUCCGUUUCCAAUCCUGAAAUAGUUACUUCACAUGCAAUAACUGGUAGUGGAUCUCAGGUGUGGGGAAGUGAACCAUCCCAGAAGCCAGAGCAGAACAAUUCAAUUUCAAUGUCUACUCAACCUAGUGCUUAUGGUAGCUGGGGCGAUGCAUCAACUACUGCUGCCCAUAAUUCUGCUUCAUCCUUUAUUGCAGGCAACCUGAGCGGUAUUUCUACCGCCCCAGGAGCUUCAGGUUUGGCACCAUCUGACUGGUGGGGAGGUCCUAUGCCUGGGCAACCAAACAUUCAACCUUCUGCUGCUCCAUCUAAUGUGCCAUGGGGCGUGAGUAUUACUGAUAACCAAAGUGUUACGUCUAGACAAGGGCUAGAAAAUCAAAAUAUUGGUUGGGGGUCGGUUCCAGGAAAUCUGAACAUGGGCUGGGGAGGACCCGUAUCUGCAAAUUCAAAUCAGGGGUGGGUUGUAUCUGGUCAGAUGCCAGCACCUGCAAACACAAACGCAGGUUGGGUUGCACAUGGGCAAGCACAAGCACCUGGAAAUGCAAAUCUGGGUUUGGCUGCUGCAGUUCAGGGUCAAGCACCAGGAAAUGCAUUUCCAGGUUGGGUGCCACCUGGCCAAGGGCAAACACCUAUAAAUGCCAAUUUAGCUUGGGUACCCCUUGGCCAAGGGCAACCUCCUGGAAAUGCAAAUCCCAGUUGGGUAGCAUCUCCAGGGAAUGUGGGGUCAUGUGGAAGUGAAAAGAACCACAAUGGGGACAGAUUCUCAAGCCAAAGGGAUGGUGGUUCUCAGGGUGGAGAUACUGGUUAUGGUGGAGGUAAGCCAUGGAAUAGGCAGUCAUCAUUUGGCAGGGGAGACUCUUCUAGGCCUCCCUUCAAAGGGCAUAGAGUGUGCAAGUACCAUGAAAGUGGGCAUUGCAUAAAAGGAGCUGCAUGUGAUUAUUUGCAUACUUGAGUUUUAGAAUUUUGGAGCAGCGUAGUGCAGUUAAAUCUGUACAGUAAUUUAAUUUGAAAGAGUGCAAUAUGAUUGUGCAUGAUGAUGGCAACCUCUUGAUCAAAAUGAAGUAUGGAGGGACCAAAAUCAGCUGCCUAAACUCAUGAUGAGAGACAAUAAGCAAAAUCACAGAGUAUCGCCCAUUCCAAUGAUGGAGAAUAACACCGAUGGUGAUUGCAAGAUUGACAAUACAUUGAUUGAUCUUAAUGCCAAACCUCAGCAGAUACACGGGCAAAAUACAACUAACCAGGAACAGGGUAUGGAUGUUAUGAGUGGUACUAAUCAUGAAUCUGCAAGUGCGGUCCCUGUUGGAUCCUUCAAAAGAG
Hevea brasiliensis (rubber tree) is the source of this 5870-nucleotide RNA transcript. It is a transcript of the gene named zinc finger CCCH domain-containing protein 19, with no coding region annotated. The transcript is spliced from 12 exons. Lineage: Eukaryota; Viridiplantae; Streptophyta; Magnoliopsida; Malpighiales; Euphorbiaceae. The record is from RefSeq and is a predicted model, not a curated record.